Molecule: ribosomal RNA, 778 nt
Filed under: uncultured Neocallimastigales
Lineage: Eukaryota; Fungi; Neocallimastigomycota; Neocallimastigomycetes; Neocallimastigales
Description: partial large subunit ribosomal RNA
Rfam family: Eukaryotic large subunit ribosomal RNA
Source: RNAcentral
AUAGAGACUCAGAGCUGCAUAUCAAUAAGCGGAGGAAAAGAAACUAACAAGGAUUCCCUUAGUAACGGCGAGUGAAGCGGGAAGAGCUCAAAUUUGAAAUCUUCAAGGUUUUACCUUGACGAAUUGUAGUUUAAAGAAGUGUUUUCUGUUGGAGUUUUGGUAAAAGUUCUUUGGAAUAGGACAUCAUAGAGGGUGAGAAUCCCGUAUUUGGUCAUUCCUUCUAGCUUUGUGAUACACUUUCAAAGAGUCGGAUUGUUUGGGAAUGCAGUCCAAAAUGGGUGGUAAAUUUCAUCUAAAGCUAAAUAUUGGCGAGAGACCGAUAGCGAACAAGUACCGUGAGGGAAAGAUGAAAAGAACCUUGAAAAGAGAGUUAAACAGUACGUGAAAUUGUCAAAAGGGAAGCGUUUGACACCAGUGUUGUUUUUCCGAAAAUCAAUUACGAAUGUUUUGUUUUUGAGGAGUUAUGACUUCAUCGGCUUGCUCCUUUCUUUAUGAAACUUUCUUAAUGCACUUUUCGGUUAACAAGUCAACAUCAAUUUCUUUUGUUGUAAAAGAGGUCAUUGAGGAAGGUGGCUUUCUUUUCGGAGAAAGUGUUUAUAGCCUUUGUACUUCUGCAAUCGGAGAGAUUGAGGUCUGCAGCGUAGAUCCUUCGGGGUUAGAUACAUUUGUGCUAAGUUAUAGCCUUUCAUAGACAACUUGUUGACUAUGAUCAGUCAUGUAGCUUACUCGCUUAUGUCAUUUUACCUACGCUUAGGAUGUUGAAGAUAUGCGCGACACG